UCCACUUUUGAUUAAAUAUCAAUAAAACCAAAAAAAAAAAAAAUCUGUUCUUAUCAGUUUAAUAUCUGAUACGUCCCCUACCCGGGGACUACAUAUUAAAUUGAUUUUUGGAUCACGGAGCUGGAGCCGGGGCUUGCUCUGUCCACUCCACGCAUCGGCCUGGUAUUGCAGUGUCUCCAGGAACGGUGUGGUUCCC
This is a small nuclear RNA of 196 nucleotides. Its record names the gene U2. It matches the Rfam family "U2 spliceosomal RNA". Rfam says of the family: U2 is a small nuclear RNA (snRNA) component of the spliceosome (involved in pre-mRNA splicing). Complementary binding between U2 snRNA (in an area lying towards the 5' end but 3' to hairpin I) and the branchpoint sequence (BPS) of the intron results the bulging out of an unpaired adenosine, on the BPS, which initiates a nucleophilic attack at the intronic 5' splice site, thus starting the first of two transesterification reactions that mediate splicing. The record is from Ensembl.